Molecule: long non-coding RNA, 427 nt
Organism: Mauremys reevesii (Reeves's turtle)
Lineage: Eukaryota; Metazoa; Chordata; Testudines; Geoemydidae
Exons: 4
Source: RefSeq, a predicted model, not a curated record
UUUGACAGCAGUGGCUGCAGGAUGGGGGCCUGACUUCUCACUGAAUGGAGCCUGAAGCUUAGCAAGAGCAGUGCUGUGCUGUCUUCUCCUCUAAGCAGCUUCUGAGGAUCUCACUGCUCUUCACAAACCUGAUGGAAUUUAGCCUACCACCACCCCUCUGAGUACCCAUCAGAACCUGGCAAACCCAGCUGCAGUGGAUUGAAAGUCACAGGAUUACCAGAACCUGAGGCAGCAGGAAAAGCUGGGAAUCACUACAGGCCACAGGAGCAGUUCUUAGGAGCAGCUGAUGAAAUCAGCCAGCUGCUGUAUCGAGCCUGAGCUAGGUACCUGCUCCAUCACUGUGGCUGGGGCUGGGCGUGCUGUGGGGAUCUCCCAGUUUGAACGGCCACGUGACCUGCUGCAUGAAGUAACUGACUAAGUACAUGGG